AACGAACGCUGGCGGCAGGCUUAACACAUGCAAGUCGAACGCCCCGCAAGGGGAGUGGCAGCCGGGUGAGUAACGCGUGGGAACAUACCCUUUUCUACGGAAUAGCUCUGGGAAACUGGAAUUAAUACCGUAUACGCCCUACGGGGGAAAGAUUUAUCGGGGAAGGAUUGGCCCGCGUGGGAUUAGCUAGUUGGUGGGGUAAAGGCCUACCAAGGCGACGAUCCAUAGCUGGUCUGAGAGGAUGAUCAGCCACAUUGGGGCUGAGAAACGGCCCAAACUCCUACGGGAGGCAGCAGUGGGGAAUAUUGGACAAUGGGCGCAAGCCUGAUCCAGCCAUGCCGCGUGAGUGAUGAAGGCCUUAGGGUUGUAAAGCUCUUUCACCGAUGAAGAUAAUGACGGUAGUCGGAGAAGAAGCCCCGGCUAACUUCGUG
RNAcentral lists this ribosomal RNA (431 nucleotides) under uncultured bacterium. RNAcentral describes it as "partial 16S ribosomal RNA". It matches the Rfam family "Bacterial small subunit ribosomal RNA", at positions 29 to 507 of the family's 1533-position model. The record is from RNAcentral.